Oncorhynchus tshawytscha (Chinook salmon) is the source of this 2065-nucleotide long non-coding RNA. NCBI's taxonomy places the organism in Eukaryota, Metazoa, Chordata, Actinopteri, Salmoniformes, Salmonidae. The record is from Ensembl.
UAGGGCUCUGGUCUAAAGUAGUACCACUAUAUAGGGAAUAGGGCUCUGGUCUAAAGUAGUACCACUAUAUAGGGAAUAGGGCUCUGGUCUAAAGUAGUACCACUAUAUAGGGAAUAGGGCUCUGGUUUAAAGUAGUGGACUAUAUAGGGAAUAGGGCUCUGUUCUAAAGUAGUGGACUAUAUAGGAAAUAGGACUCUGGUCUAAAGUAGUGCACUAUAUAGGGAAUAGGGCUCUGGUCUAAAGUAGUGGACUAUAUAGGGAAUAGGGCUCUGGUCUAAAGUAGUGGACUAUAUAGGGAAUAGGGCUCUGGUCUAAAGUAGUACACUAUAUAGGGAAUAGGGCUCUGUUCAACAGUAGUGCACUAUAUAGGGAAUAGGGCUCUGGUCUAUAGUAGUGCACUAUAUAGGGAAUAGGGCUCUGGUCAAAAGUAGUGCACUAUAUAGGGAAUAGGGCUCUGGUCAAAAGUAGUGCACUAUAUAGGGAAUAGGGCUCUGGUCUAAAGUAGUACCACUAUAUAGGGAAUAGGGCUCUGGUCUAAAGUAGUACCACUAUAUAGGGAAUAGGGCUCUGGUCUAAAGUAGUACCACUAUAUAGGGAAUAGGGCUCUGGUCUAAAGUAGUACCACUAUAUAGGGAAUAGGGCUCUGGUCUAAAGUAGUGGACUAUAUAGGGAAUAGGGCUCUGGUCUAAAGUAGUGGACUAUAUAGGGAAUAGGACUCUGGUCUAAAGUAGUGCACUAUAUAGGGAAUAGGGCUCUGGUCUAAAGUAGUGGACUAUAUAGGGAAUAGGGCUCUGGUCUAAAGUAGUGGACUAUAUAGGGAAUAGGGCUCUGGUCUAAAGUAGUACACUAUAUAGGGAAUAGGGCUCUGUUCAACAGUAGUGCACUAUAUAGGGAAUAGGGCUCUGGUCUAUAGUAGUGCACUAUAUAGGGAAUAGGGCUCUGGUCAAAAGUAGUGCACUAUAUAGGGAAUAGGGCUCUGGUCAAAAGUAGUGCACUAUAUAGGGAAUAGGGCUCUGGUCUAAAGUAGUGCACUAUAUAGGGAAUAGGGCUCUGGUCUAAAGUAGUGCACUAUAUAGGGAAUAGGGCUCUGGUCUAAAGUAGUGCACUAUAUAGGGAAUAGGGCUCUGGUCUAAAGUAGUGCACUAUAUAGGGAAUAGGACUCUGGUCUAUAGUAGUACCACUAUAUAGGGAAUAGGGCUCUGGUCUAUAGUAGUGGACUAUAUAGGGAAUAGGGCUCUGGUCUAAAGUAGUACCACUAUAUAGGGAAUAGGGCUCUGGUCUAUAGUAGUGGACUAUAUAGGGAAUAGGGCUCUGGUCUAUAGUAGUGGACUAUAUAGGGAAUAGGGCUCUGGUCUAAAGUAGUACCACUAUAUAGGGAAUAGGACUCUGGUCUAUAGUAGUGGACUAUAUAGGGAAUAGGGCUCUGGUCUAAAGUAGUACCACUAUAUAGGGAAUAGGGCUCUGGUCUAUAGUAGUAGCACUAUAUAGGGAAUAGGGCUCUGGUCUAAAGUAGUGCACUAUAUAGGGAAUAGGGCUCUGGUCUAAAGUAGUGCACUAUAUAGGGAAUAGGGCUCUGGUCUAAAGUAGUGCACUAUAUAGGGAAUAGGGCUCUGGUCUAAAGUAGUGCACUAUAUAGGGAAUAGGGCUCUGGUCUAAAGUAGUGCACUAUAUAUAUUCCCAGCUAGAUGUACCCUUACCAGACCAGACAGUACUCCCAAGUUCCCUUUGGAGAUCUAGGCUAUAAUUUCAUAGAUCUAUAUUUCCUAGGUAUCGGAUAGAGUCUAGAAUGAGAGUCAACAUGGGGCCAGCAUCCCUGUGGAACACUCUCGACACCUUGUAGAGUCAACAUGGGGCCAGCAUCCCUGUGGAACACUUUAGACACCUUGUAGAGUCCCAUAGCCCUGAUGAAUUGAGUCCCAUACCCCUGAUGAAUUGAGUCCCAUACCCCUGAUGAAUUGAGUCCCAUACCCCUGAUGAAUUGAGUCCCAUAGCCCUGAUGAAUUGAGUCCCAUACCCCUGAUGAAUUGAGUCCCAUACCCCUGAUGAAUUGAGUCCCAUACCCCUG